This 301-nucleotide ribosomal RNA is filed under the name uncultured Ferroglobus sp. RNAcentral describes it as "bacterial SSU rRNA". It matches the Rfam family "Bacterial small subunit ribosomal RNA", at positions 495 to 795 of the family's 1533-position model. The record is from RNAcentral. Lineage: Archaea; Methanobacteriati; Methanobacteriota; Archaeoglobi; Archaeoglobales; Archaeoglobaceae.
AACAAACUUGUUGACGGCAUGUGGGGUAAUACGGAGGGGGUAAGCGUUAAACGUAAUUAAUGGGCGUAAAGCGUGCGCAGUCGGCUUAGUAAGUCAGAGGAGAAAUCCCUAGGCGCAACCGAGGAACGGCAUGUGAAACUAAGAAACUAGAGUAUCGUAGAGGGAGGUAGAAUUCCAGGUGUAGCGGUGAAAUGCGUAGAUAUCUGGAGGAAUACCAGUGGCGAAGGCGACCUCCUGGACGAAAACUGACGCGCAAGCACGAAAGCAUGGGGAGCAAACAGGAUUAGAUACCCCGGUAGUC